GGAAACUUCACAAAGGUUUACGUAUGGAAAGCAUGUGGGGCCAUGUCCAUCUCGGCUGUGGGGACAGGAAUUCUCAGGGAGACAGGCAAAGAUGUAAAUAACUCCUAAGCUCGCAUGCUAGGUGCUAUAGAACGUCCAAGAAGAAUACAAGUGUGAUCCUGACUGAGCUAUCAUGUCUUCGCCCAGAGGACUAACUUGGCCCUAUGACGAGCUCCAUUUGGCGAGCAAGGGAAUGAAGUCUGGAAAAAUUAGGUCAAAUCCUCAAGAUCCCAUAGCCUGACCAUGAACUCAGGUGCUCUGAUUCCAAGCACACGGCUAUUUCCAUUACUUUCAUAUGCCAUAUGCCAAGCUCUUUUCCUCACUGACCUGAAGACAUUUGAGGGUCCAGACUGUGUUUUAUGCAGCUCCUGUUUUCCCCAUGGAUCCCAGAUAUGCAGCCUGUUGCUUUAUUAAUUGAUUUGCCAAGAAGUAGCAAGAAUGUCCUCAUGAGGCAUCCUGUCCCUAAGGACCUGAAGAAAAAAACCCUAGCAAUUCUUUUGGGGCUGGAAAGAACUGCUGAGAAGUCAUGACUGUGGUUGUUUUCAGUGCCAUGACUGAGUCAUGUUCUAAAAAAAAAAGGCUUCCAGUCACUAUUUU
Molecule: long non-coding RNA, 636 nt
Filed under: Equus asinus (donkey)
Lineage: Eukaryota; Metazoa; Chordata; Mammalia; Perissodactyla; Equidae
Description: lncRNA (ENSEASG00005036098.1)
Source: RNAcentral